AGCGAGGAGGAAGGUACCUUAGUUUAAUACCUAGAGAGUAUCGGACGUUACUCGCACAAUAAGCACCGGCUAACUCUGUGCCAGCAGCCGCGGUAAUACAGAGGGUGCAAGCGUUAAUCGGAUUUACUGGGCGUAAAGCGUGCGUAGGCGGCUAAUNUAAGUCGGAUGUGAAAUCCCCGAGCUCAACUAGGGAAUUGCAUUCGAUACUGGUUAGCUAGAGUAUGGGAGAGGAUGGUAGAAUUCCAGGUGUAGCGGUGAAAUGCGUAGAGAUCUGGAGGAAUACCGAUGGCGAAGGCAGCCAUCUGGCCUAAUACUGACGCUGAGGUACGAAAGCAUGGGGAGCAAACAGGAUUAGAUACCCUGGUAGUCCAUGCCGUAAACGAUGUCUACUAGCCGUUGGGGCCUUUGAGGCUUUAGUGGCGCAGCUAACGCGAUAAGUAGACCGCCUGGGGAGUACGGUCGCAAGACUAAAACUCAAAUGAAUUGACGGGGGCCCGCACAAGCGGUGGAGCAUGUGGUUUAAUUCGAUGCNACGCGAAGA
This 541-nucleotide ribosomal RNA is filed under the name bacterium T-1-0-4B. RNAcentral's name for it is "bacterial SSU rRNA". It matches the Rfam family "Bacterial small subunit ribosomal RNA", at positions 438 to 967 of the family's 1533-position model. The record is from RNAcentral.